RNAcentral lists this ribosomal RNA (253 nucleotides) under uncultured bacterium. Its description in RNAcentral is "partial 16S ribosomal RNA". It matches the Rfam family "Bacterial small subunit ribosomal RNA", at positions 524 to 776 of the family's 1533-position model. The record is from RNAcentral.
UACGGAAGGUGCAAGCGUUGUUCGGAAUGACUGGGCGUAAAGCGCACGUAGGCGGGUCUGUAAGUCAGAUGUGAAAUCCCUAGGCUUAACCUGGGAACUGCAUCUGAAACUGCAAAUCUUGAAUACCUCAGAGGUUGGUGGAAUUCCUGGUGUAGGAGUGAAAUCCGUAGAGAUCAGGAGGAACAUCGGAGGCGAAGGCGGCCGACUGGGAGAGUAUUGACGCUGAGGUGCGAAAGCGUGGGGAGCAAACAGG